Molecule: ribosomal RNA, 472 nt
Filed under: uncultured bacterium
Lineage: Bacteria
Description: bacterial SSU rRNA
Rfam family: Bacterial small subunit ribosomal RNA
Source: RNAcentral
GGACGGGUGAGUAAUGCCUAGGAAUCUGCCUAGUAGUGGGGGAUAACUUGCCGAAAGGUAAGCUAAUACCGCGUACGUCCUACGGGAGAAAGCAGGGGAGCCUUUGGGUCCUUGCGCUAUUAGAUGAGCCUAGGUCGGAUUAGUUAGUUGGUGGGGUAAUGGCUCACCAAGGCAGCGAUCCGUAGCUGGUCUGAGAGGAUGAUCAGCCACACUGGGACUGAGACACGGCCCAGACUCCUACGGGAGGCAGCAGUGGGGAAUAUUGGACAAUGGGGGCAACCCUGAUCCAGCCAUGCCGCGUGUGUGAAGAAGGUCUUCGGAUUGUAAAGCACUUUAAGUUGGGAGGAAGGGCUCACGGUUAAUACCCGCUGAGUUUUGACGUUACCAACAGAAUAAGCACCGGCUAACUUCGUGCCAGCAGCCGCGGUAAUACGAAGGGUGCAAGCGUUAAUCGGAAUUACUGGGCGUAAAG